GAUUAUGGCUCAGGACGAACGCUGGCGGCGUGCCUAACACAUGCAAGUCGAGCGAGGAGAUCCUUCGGGAUGAUCCUAGCGGCGGACGGGUGAGUAACACGUGGGCAACCUGCCUCAUAGAGAGGAAUAGCCUUCCGAAAGGGAGAUUAAUACCUCAUAACAUUGCAGUUUCGCAUGGAACAGCAAUUAAAGGAGUAAUCCGCUAUGAGAUGGGCCCGCGGCGCAUUAGCUAGUUGGUGAGGUAACGGCUCACCAAGGCGACGAUGCGUAGCCGACCUGAGAGGAUGAUCGGCCACAUUGGGACUGAGACACGGCCCAGACUCCUACGGGAGGCAGCAGUGGGGAAUAUUGCACAAUGGGGGAAACCCUGAUGCAAGCAACGCCGCGUGAGUGAUGACGGCCUUCGGGUUGUAAAGCUCUGUCUUCAGGGACGAUAAUGACGGUACCUGAGGAGGAAGCCACGGCUAACUACGUGCCAGCAGCCGC
RNAcentral lists this ribosomal RNA (486 nucleotides) under uncultured bacterium. RNAcentral describes it as "bacterial SSU rRNA". It matches the Rfam family "Bacterial small subunit ribosomal RNA", at positions 15 to 518 of the family's 1533-position model. The record is from RNAcentral.